This 212-nucleotide long non-coding RNA is filed under the name Vigna radiata. Its description in RNAcentral is "long non-coding RNA (VRAD_LNC005193)". The record is from RNAcentral. Lineage: Eukaryota; Viridiplantae; Streptophyta; Magnoliopsida; Fabales; Fabaceae.
UUUUUUUUUUUUUUUUGAAGGGAAGUACAAAACUUAAUUAAGCUUUAAAAGAAUAAAAGAAAUGAUGUUAAUAGAGUGUAUAAGUAUUGUUGACGUCAGGAAUAAUGAUAAUGUAACUAACAGUCACAUGGUGAAAAGGAAAAUGGUGAAGUGAUGUAGGUUGGUUAUGGGAAAGGCACAAGUUCCAUGAUUUAGGCCAUUGAGAUAUUAUU